AGAGUUUGAUCAUGGCUCAGAUUGAACGCUGGCGGCAUGCCUUACACAUGCAAGUCGAACGGUAACAGGUCUUCGGAUGCUGACGAGUGGCGAACGGGUGAGUAAUACAUCGGAACGUGCCCGAUCGUGGGGGAUAACGAAGCGAAAGCUUUGCUAAUACCGCAUACGAUCUACGGAUGAAAGCAGGGGACCGCAAGGCCUUGCGCGAACGGAGCGGCCGAUGGCAGAUUAGGUAGUUGGUGGGAUAAAAGCUUACCAAGCCGACGAUCUGUAGCUGGUCUGAGAGGACGACCAGCCACACUGGGACUGAGACACGGCCCAGACUCCUACGGGAGGCAGCAGUGGGGAAUUUUGGACAAUGGGCGAAAGCCUGAUCCAGCCAUGCCGCGUGCAGGAUGAAGGCCUUCGGGUUGUAAACUGCUUUUGUACGGAACGAAAAGGCUCUGGUUAAUACCUGGGGUCCAUGACGGUACCGUAAGAAUAAGCACCGGCUAACUACGUGCCAGCAGCCGCGGUAAUACGAAGGGUGCAAGCGUUAAUCGGAAUUACUGGGCGUAAAGCGCGCGUAGGUGGUUCAGUAAGUUGGAAGUGAAAUCCCCGGGCUCAACCUGGGAACUGCUUUCAAAACUGCUGAGCUAGAGUACGGUAGAGGGUGGUGGAAUUUCCUGUGUAGCGGUGAAAUGCGUAGAUAUAGGAAGGAACACCAGUGGCGAACGCGACCACCUGGACUGAUACUGACACUGAGUGCGAAAGCGUGGGGAGCAAACAGGAUUAGAUACC
RNAcentral lists this ribosomal RNA (780 nucleotides) under uncultured bacterium. Its description in RNAcentral is "bacterial SSU rRNA". It matches the Rfam family "Bacterial small subunit ribosomal RNA", at positions 8 to 786 of the family's 1533-position model. The record is from RNAcentral.